GAACGAAGUGAUAAUCAAAUUCGACAUCUUUCGUUCAUGCAUGGAAGACCGGGUGAACAGCCCUAGACCCAGAUCGCAAAGCACGUAGGAAAGUCAUAGGAGUUCAGAUGCGGUGACGGCAAGAGCUUUAUAUUCGGCCUCGGCGCUAGACCUGGACACAGUCGCUUCUUUCUUUGUGCCCCAAGAGAGAAGAUUGGUGCUAAGGAAAACAGAGUAAGCAGUAGUGGAGCGGCGAUCAUCCGGGCAAGCAGCUUUCAUUUUAUUAAAUAGUUUGGUAGGGCUUUCAUGGUAUUGGUUGGGGUAAGGGAGUUGGAGUAUAGCCGGGUAA
This 328-nucleotide unclassified non-coding RNA is filed under the name Hevea brasiliensis (rubber tree). The record is from RNAcentral. Lineage: Eukaryota; Viridiplantae; Streptophyta; Magnoliopsida; Malpighiales; Euphorbiaceae.